Molecule: ribosomal RNA, 445 nt
Filed under: uncultured bacterium
Lineage: Bacteria
Description: partial 16S ribosomal RNA
Rfam family: Bacterial small subunit ribosomal RNA
Source: RNAcentral
CUACGGGGUGCUGCAGUGGGGAAUAUUGCACAAUGGGCGCAAGCCUGAUGCAGCAACGCCGCGUGAGGGAUGAAGGCCUUCGGGUUGUAAACCUCUUUUAGCAGGGAAGAAGCGAAAGUGACGGUACCUGCAGAAAAAGCACCGGCUAACUACGUGCCAGCAGCCGGCGGUAAUACGUAGGGUGCAAGCGUUGUCCGGAAUUAUUGGGCGUAAAGAGCUCGUAGGCGGUUUGUCACGUCUGCUGUGAAAAUCCAAGGCUCAACCUUGGACUUGCAGGGGGUACGGGCAGGCUAGAGUGCGGUAGGGGAGAUGGGAAUUCCUGGUGUAGCGGUGGAAUGCGCAGAUAUCAGGAGGAACACCAAUGGCGAAGGCACAUCUCUGGGCCGUAACUGACGCUGAGGAGCGAAAGCGUGGGGAGCGAACAGGAUUAGAUACCCGAGUAGUC